RNAcentral lists this ribosomal RNA (427 nucleotides) under uncultured bacterium. RNAcentral's name for it is "bacterial SSU rRNA". It matches the Rfam family "Bacterial small subunit ribosomal RNA", at positions 355 to 775 of the family's 1533-position model. The record is from RNAcentral.
UCGAGAAUUUUUCUCAAUGGGGGAAACCCUGAAGGAGCGACGCCGCGUGGAGGAUGAAGGUCUUCGGAUUGUAAACUCCUGUCAUUGGUGAACAAAGUCACAAGUUAACUGCUUUGUGAUAUGCUAGUAGCCGAAGAGGAAGGGACGGCUAACUCUGUGCCAGCAGCCGCGGUAAUACAGAGGUCCCAAGCGUUGUUCGGAUUCAUUGGGCGUAAAGGGUGCGUAGGCGGUGGGGUAAGUUGGAUGUGAAAUCUUGGGGCUUAACCUCAAAAUUGCAUUCAAUACUGCUCCGCUCGAGUUCUGUAGAGGAGAUUGGAAUUUACGGUGUAGCAGUGAAAUGCGUAGAUAUCGUAAGGAACGCCAGUGGCGAAAGCGAAUCUCUGGGCAGCAACUGACGCUGAGGCACGAAGGCCAGGGGAGCAAACGG